GGAUGUGAGGGCGAUCUGGCUGCGACAUCUGUCACCCCAUUGAUCGCCAGGGUUGAUUCGGCUGAUCUGGCUGGCUAGGCGGGUGUCCCCUUCCUCCCUCACCUCUCCAUGUGCGUCCCUCCCGAAGCUGCGUGCUCAGUCGAAGAGGACGACCUUCCCCGAAUAGAGGAGGAUCGGUCUUCGGUCAAGGGUAUACGAGUAGCUGCGCUCCCCUGCUAGAACCUCCAAACAAGCUCUCAAGAAACACAAAAGGGGCUGGAGAGAAGGUGCAGCAGCUAAAAAAGGCACUUGCUACAAAGCCUUACAACCUGGGUUCAAUUU
This 321-nucleotide small nuclear RNA is filed under the name Jaculus jaculus (lesser Egyptian jerboa). Its description in RNAcentral is "7SK RNA (ENSJJAG00000007658.1)". It matches the Rfam family "7SK RNA". Rfam says of the family: 7SK was discovered as an abundant small nuclear RNA in the mid-70s but a possible function has only recently been suggested. Two independent studies have found that 7SK RNA binds the CDK9/cyclin T complex (known as elongation factor P-TEFb). The record is from Rfam by way of RNAcentral. Lineage: Eukaryota; Metazoa; Chordata; Mammalia; Rodentia; Dipodidae.